AGGGGGUUUGGGGAUCCUUGGCUCAGAACGAACGCUGGCGGCGUGCCUAAUACAUGCAAGUCGAACGAGAAAGCACCUUCGGGUGUUAGUACAGUGGCAGACGGGUGAGUAAUACAUAGGUAACUUGCCUUUGAGCGGGGGAUAACCUUUCGAAAGGAGGGCUAAUACCGCAUAAGACCACAGCUACUACGGUAGCAGGGGUAAAAGGUGGCCUCUACUUGUAAGCUACCACUUAAAGAUAGGCUUAUGUACCAUUAGCUUGUUGGUGAGGUAACGGCUCACCAAGGCUACGAUGGUUAGCUGAUCUGAGAGGUUGAUCAGCCACACUGGAACUGAGACACGGUCCAGACUCCUACGGGAGGCAGCAGUAGGGAAUAUUGCGCAAUGGAGGAAACUCUGACGCAGCGACGCCGCGUGGGCGACGAAGGCUUUCGGGUCGUAAAGCCCUGUCGAAGGGGAAGAAAAACGGUAUGGCUAAUAUCCAUAUCGCUUGACGGUACCUUUUAGAGGAAGCACCGGCUAACUUACGUGCCAAGCAAGCCG
Molecule: ribosomal RNA, 543 nt
Filed under: uncultured delta proteobacterium
Lineage: Bacteria; Deltaproteobacteria
Description: bacterial SSU rRNA
Rfam family: Bacterial small subunit ribosomal RNA
Source: RNAcentral